Dryococelus australis is the source of this 72-nucleotide non-coding RNA. The record is from the annotation of a GenBank genome assembly. Lineage: Eukaryota; Metazoa; Arthropoda; Insecta; Phasmatodea; Phasmatidae.
GGGGAUGUAGCUCAGCGGUAGAGCAUUUGCUUUGCAUGUGAAAUGCCCCAGGUUCAAUCCCCAGCAUCUCCU